AGAAACUAGUUUCUUAAUUACUGACUAUCUUCGUAAACGCGACUAUUGUUUAUUAUUCACGAUCUUCUAAAAUGUCAGUAUUAUAAAAUUAAACUUGCUUCGUAAAUGACACUGAUGUGUCAGAUCGGAAAUAAACGUGAUUUGCAAGAAAUAAUUUAUUGUAAAGAUUUUAAAAAGGAAUUGACAAUUUAAAUAAUAAACUUUGAAUGUCGUUUCUUUGUUUUCAGGUGAGGUUAAUAGUUUUAAGUUGAACAGUGAAAUUACAUUGUAUAUUAGUGCUAAUUAACAAAAUAAAUAAAAUCUUUGUUUUCAGAGCAACACAAUCUUUUAAAUUGUACAAUUCCCUAUAAACGUCUUAUAAAACGACAUUUAUAGUUAGAAAUAAGAUAAAUAUGGAGAAACUACGAUUUAAAUUUGAAGUUCAAGGGUCGGCAGAUGGAAAAACCAAUGUGAUCUGCAUAACCUCUAUCGAGACACCAGACGGCCGUGUUUACGAGAUUCCAGACGAGUUAAAACCAGCAAGUGAGGUUAAUAGUUUUAAGUUGAACAGUGAAAUUACAUUGUAUAUUAGUGCUAAUUAACAAAAUAAAUAAAAUCUUUGUUUUCAGAGCAACACAA
Molecule: long non-coding RNA, 618 nt
Organism: Ostrinia nubilalis (European corn borer)
Lineage: Eukaryota; Metazoa; Arthropoda; Insecta; Lepidoptera; Crambidae
Exons: 2
Source: RefSeq, a predicted model, not a curated record